RNAcentral lists this ribosomal RNA (694 nucleotides) under Oena capensis (namaqua dove). Its description in RNAcentral is "partial 12S ribosomal RNA". It matches the Rfam family "Bacterial small subunit ribosomal RNA", at positions 521 to 1508 of the family's 1533-position model. The record is from RNAcentral. Lineage: Eukaryota; Metazoa; Chordata; Aves; Columbiformes; Columbidae.
UCACACAAGAGACCCAAAUUAAUCGUAUACGGCGUAGAGAGUGGACCCACAAUUAUCACACUAACUAAGGCCAAAACGUAACUGAGCUGUCAUAAGCUUAAGGUACAUCUAAAACCGCCCUAAAAACGACCUUAGUAUUCAUGAUCAAGUAAAUUCCACGAAAGCUAGGGCACAAACUGGGAUUAGAUACCCCACUAUGCCUAGCCCUAAAUCUCGAUGCUUACCCCACUAAAGCAUCCGCCCGAGGACUACGAGCACAAACGCUUAAAACUCUAAGGACUUGGCGGUGCCCCAAACCCACCUAGAGGAGCCUGUUCUGUAAUCGACAACCCACGAUACACCCAACCACUCCUUGCCCAGCCAGCCUACAUACCGCCGUCGCCAGCUCACCUUUCCUGAGAGUACAGCAGUGAGCGCAAUAGUCCCAACCCCACUAACAAGACAGGUCAAGGUAUAGCCAAUGAAGUGGAAGAAAUGGGCUACAUUUUCUAACCUAGAAAACCAAACGAAAGGGGGCAUGAAAUAACCCCCAGAAGGUGGAUUUAGCAGUAAAGAGGAAUAAUAAAGUCCCCUUUAAACCGGCUCUGAGGCACGUACAUACCGCCCGUCACCCUCCUCACAAGCCCCAAACUUAUAUAAAUAAUACACCCCCUUGCUAAAGACGAGGUAAGUCGUAACAAGGUAAGUNUACCGG